Molecule: non-coding RNA, 176 nt
Filed under: Firmicutes bacterium CAG:822
Lineage: Bacteria; Bacillati; Bacillota
Description: 6S / SsrS RNA
Rfam family: 6S / SsrS RNA
About the family: E. coli 6S RNA was the first non coding RNA to be sequenced, but its function was unknown until recently. It consists of 184 nucleotides that fold into an extended hairpin structure with a large single-stranded internal bulge. The 6S RNA specifically associates with RNA polymerase holoenzyme containing the sigma70 specificity factor.
Source: Rfam by way of RNAcentral
AAUUGUCUAAAAGAAGAAUACCGCUAUGAAAAACCUACUAAGUAUAACGAUUGGGAAUCUAAUUCACUGGUGGUGUAGAAUACUUUAAUUUAUUAAAGGAUCCUAAAAUCGGUGAUGUGAUGCCCACCUGGGAGAUCAGGUUUUUAAUUCGUUAAGGAUUCUCUUUUGGACUUUGC